This 239-nucleotide long non-coding RNA is filed under the name Sorghum bicolor (sorghum). RNAcentral's name for it is "long non-coding RNA (SBIC_LNC016877)". The record is from RNAcentral. Lineage: Eukaryota; Viridiplantae; Streptophyta; Magnoliopsida; Poales; Poaceae.
CGCGAGCGGUGGCCGCGCUUGGACAGAGCGCCGAGGAGCAUAUCGGUUACUGUAGACGUCCAUAUCCUCCCCAUUCUGUCCUUUAGCAAAAACAGCCAAAGUUUGAACUAAAGCCAAAAUUUCACCAAAAUAAAAGUUGUACAAAAUUUUGUGAACUACAAAACAUCUUUUGGUGGCCAGAGCCAAUUCUGCGUGGAAAUUAGCUAAAUUGGCCAAACCGUUUUGAAAUUCAAACUCAA